UAGGGAAUCUUCCACAAUGGACGCAAGUCUGAUGGAGCAACGCCGCGUGAGUGAAGAAGGUUUUCGGACCGUAAAGCUCUGUUGUUGGUGAAGAAGGAUAGAGGUAGUAACUGGCCUUUAUUUGACGGUAAUCAACCAGAAAGUCACGGCUAACUACGUGCCAGCAGCCGCGGUAAAUCGUAGGUGGCAAGCGUUGUCCGGAUUUAUUGGGCGUAAAGCGAGCGCAGGCGGAAGAAUAAGUCUGAUGUGAAAGCCCUCGGCUUAACCGAGGAAUUGCAUCGGAAACUGUUUUCUGAGUGCAGAAGAGGAGAGUAGAACUCCAUGUGUAGCGGUGGAAUGCGUAGAUAUAUGGAAGAAUACCAGUGGCGAAGGCGGCUCUCUGGUCUGCAACUGACGCUGAGGCUCGAAAGCAUGGGUAGCGAACAGGGUUUAGAU
RNAcentral lists this ribosomal RNA (435 nucleotides) under uncultured bacterium. RNAcentral's name for it is "partial 16S ribosomal RNA". It matches the Rfam family "Bacterial small subunit ribosomal RNA", at positions 355 to 783 of the family's 1533-position model. The record is from RNAcentral.